GUUUGCAGCCGAAGGCGGGCGGGGCCGAGAAGGUGGUGAAGCCCUGGGAUGACCGGCAAGACAGGAACCUGGCCACGUGGUCUCGGUGAAGCUCGCUCCUCGCCAGCCAGGCUAGGAUUGUACGGAGAGGCCGCGGUGAGGGUGGUCUGUGGAGGAGGUGCUAUCACCCCCUAAAAAGGUUAAAUCAAGUACCUUUACGCUUCUGGAGUGCAGAUGUUUUGUAACUUGAUUCAGAACCUGCCUAAGAUACGAGAUUCCUGAGAGCGGAGCAGAGUUUGAAUUCAGAGUACCGGCUUUGCCAGGCCAACAGUUACAACUGUCCUUCUGUUGUUUGACCUCCGUGCCCUCUUGAAAAGGAAGAGAAAUAAAAUUAGAGAAUUGGUGACCCGGAGAGCAA
Molecule: long non-coding RNA, 397 nt
Organism: Propithecus coquereli (Coquerel's sifaka)
Lineage: Eukaryota; Metazoa; Chordata; Mammalia; Primates; Indriidae
Exons: 3
Source: RefSeq, a predicted model, not a curated record